Molecule: microRNA precursor, 113 nt
Filed under: Paramuricea clavata
Lineage: Eukaryota; Metazoa; Cnidaria; Anthozoa; Malacalcyonacea; Plexauridae
Rfam family: mir-240 microRNA precursor family
Source: RNAcentral
CUAAACUUUUUUAUUACAACAUUUAUUCUAAACCAACGUUUCGGGGCAUGCUCCUUCAUCCUUGAUGAAGGGGCAUGCCCCGAAACGUUGGUUUAGAAUAAAUGUUGUAAUAA